This is a long non-coding RNA of Hypanus sabinus (Atlantic stingray), 2888 nucleotides long. RefSeq lists it as uncharacterized. NCBI's taxonomy places the organism in Eukaryota, Metazoa, Chordata, Chondrichthyes, Myliobatiformes, Dasyatidae. The transcript has 4 exons. The record is from RefSeq and is a predicted model, not a curated record.
GCAUGCAGGAAGUGCAUGCACAGUAAACCACAGAGACUCUUUGGAGCUGUGUGUUAUAGUGCUGAGGUUUGCAUCUCACAACUAUUGGGAGGCCUCUAUCAAGCCUUUAAUUCUCACAGUGAUCUACUAUGUUGGUAGUUACUGAGGAAGAAGUAUUGAAAUCUUCAAGAAAUGCAGCAGAGAUCUUUUGAGAUCCAUGAAGACUGGAGUAAAAAUAUCGCCCUUCGCAUCUCCAUAGAAAUGGCCCCCUCUCACCAAUGACUGAGAAUGUAAGGAGAAUGUAAGGAGAUUUCCAGUGUCUGCAGUCUUUUGGAUCUUCAGGGAAGGAAUCUAUUAGUCUCAAACUGCUGAGAAUCCUGUUGGAUUCAAUAGUGAGACCAUAUCAGAGUUAUUCAUUCUGUUUCUAACCCAGAAGACUGAAAGUUGACUGGCAGGAGGUCCUGUGAAGAGAUACUGCUGACCACCAAGAGGACCAUAACCUUGUUGUGGUUUGGAGGCUUGCGUGCCUCAGUGACCCGGAGAGCUAUGCUGGCUGGAGUCAGGUCUUUACGCUUCGGCUCUUGGUAGGGCCACCAAUGCCAAAAGGGUCAAAGGGUAGAGGCCAGGCUAAGUGGUCCACUGAUCCUCAACUUCAGCUCAGGACUAACAAAUCUGACUGGUUAAACAAAGCCAUUAUGGAAACAGCAAUGGAGAAUCCUUCUGCAUCUGAGUGCGACGGUAUCCCUGAGUCUCCACUCAGGAACUUGCAUGAGUGACAGUAGUGAAAAGCGAGUGGAAGCUACUGACAUGAUGAAUGAAGCCCUGAACACUGAUAGAGAUGGAGGACAUUCCACCCUGCCCUGUGUAAUGGGCAGUACAGAGAUGUUGCUCAGUGUUUCCAAUAUUUUUCUAUUUUCUAUUUUUAUUCCAGAUUUUUAUUCCACCUACAGCUCUUUGCCAUUAAAACCUGAAACUGUUAUAAUCUUUUUCAUCAAGUAAGUGAAGGGAAUUAUGAAUAGGACAGGGUGAUGGAUGAGGUUAUGAAUUAACCAUCGGUCUUAUUGAAUGGAGCAAUAGAGUUAAGAGUCCAUAAUAAUCUUAUUCCCAUUACUUGUGUUCUUACUGAUGAUCUUUGAAGAGUUCAAAGAGAAACCAAAGUUUGUUUAAUUAAUGAUUUGGUAAGUGGGGCAAAAAGCAGAGGGCAGCAUUUUAAUGAGUAACUUCCAACCUCUUACAAACAUAAACAGUUUAAUGUUCUGUGCUGACAAGACACAAAACAGAAGAUAAAUUGAAUCUGUACAAAAAUAUACAAAUCCCAUGUGUAGCAUUCAGUGAAUUUGGUUCGGGUCGUAUCAAUGAUCAAUGAAUUUAUAUAAUUAAAUAUUUGCCAAGUCCGAAAUUCUACCACAUGGUCAGGGAUAUCUGCUGACUGUCCUUUUCUGAACAUUUUAUUAAUGUUGAACUACUGUAAUGUUGAACUACUUUUCCAAUAUGAAGGUGUGGAGUGGAACUACAAUAAAUUCAAAUUGAAAUAAAUUUUGAAAAGAAGAUUAAAUAGAACAAGUGACUAAAUGUUAAGAGCUGUGUGGCAGUGAUUAGCUGUGUAGGGUGAAGAAAUUCACUCUUAGAUUGAAAUGUGUGACUGGUUAUUUCCAAUGUUAGGGCCAGUAGUUAAAUUAAAUACAACAAAGUAAGGUUAGUAUACCUCCUCUUUUCUAACAGGAUGGAUCUGUAUGUACUUAAUUCCUAACAUUGGUGCCCUGACUAAAAUGACAAACUGUCCCAUAUUUUUAGACUCGUAAUGUUUAUUGCACACCACAAAAACCUAAAUCAAUUUUGCCAAAUAUUCAUAAAACUAUCAUCAGAAUCAGAAUCAAAUUUGUUAUCAUUGACCUAUGUCUUGAAAUUUGUUUGUUUUGUGGCAACAAUGUAAGACAUAAACACUUACUAUGUUGCAAAAUUAAAUAAAUAGAACAAAAGAGAAAUGCCAUUAUACAUGGGCAAGUAGAAGUUCUGUGGUGCCUAGUUAAAAAUCUUGUGCUCGCAAUAACCAUAGCCAGAUAGCUGUGGGCUGUUGUCCUGUGCAAAUGCAUAUUUUUCUGUUCUUGAACCCAAUUCAAGAUGGCUGCUGCUAGGCAACCAGGGGACCAUAGGAACAUAGAGCAGGGUGAGGUAUGUGUGGAUGGGGCAUGGCUGUGAACAAAGCCCAGAAUGUGACUGGAACACAGUGGGAAUGAAGCCAGGUAUGUAGGCCCCGUGGAAGAAAUGAGACUGGUUGUACAGUUACGAAAGGGCAGGCUAGAAUGUGGCUGGGACAGCUGUCCCCAAGUCUUCUACACCCCUAACAACUCCACUUUCAAACUGGUAGGUUGUCUCCAAUUCCAUGGCCUCUGGUGUGGAAUCUUGUCAAAUGCUUUCUGUAAAUCCAGAGAAUUACCAGUCUAGAUCCCGCCACAUUGUUACCCUAACAAAUAACUAGGCUUCUACGAGACAAUUCACCCUUCACACCCCCAUUUCCCUUUCUUGAUUAUCCCAUUUCUGACCAAAUGUUUUAUUACCUAGGAGAGAAAUGUGGCUUUAGUUGCCAGUGCCAAAUCCAGGUUUAUUUGGAACAGAAUCUGCAGGUACAUUGCAAUGUGUGAUUUGUAGCCAAUGCUCACGCAGAAUUGGAAACUUCUGUCCCCAACAAUGGAUUCUGGUAACUUCUCACAACUGACAAUACACUAAUCAGUAAUGUAAAUUCCUUAUUAAUCUCCUUUAACUUGUUUUGAAUAGAAGAGUUUACACAUUUUCUAUUUUAAAAUGGCAAUAUUUGAACCUCUUGAGAACAUUGGAUUAAAUGGUUGAUAAAUCCUGAAGCAGCAUCUUUUGGAAAUCAGGUACAAAAUACAUUGUUAUUUUCCUAAACC